This is a non-coding RNA of Chlorocebus sabaeus (green monkey), 1027 nucleotides long. The record is from RefSeq and is a predicted model, not a curated record. NCBI's taxonomy places the organism in Eukaryota, Metazoa, Chordata, Mammalia, Primates, Cercopithecidae.
GUCUUUGUUUGCAACUUAGUAACUUCACUCCAGACUCUGGAGGGUCUGAUUGUGGCUCUGAUCAGACUGAUCAUGGGCGGAGUCUUCAGUUUGUAUAGAAGUAUAACUUUAUAACUUCACCCUACCCUCUGGUUGCUUUUUGAAAUCAAUUAGAUGUUUGCAGGGGAGUGUGACCUUUGUAACUUCACUUCAUCCUCUGGUUGGCUGCUGUCUGCAGCCAAACAGACUGAUUUCAGGCUACCACAUCAUUUAUAUGAAGUGAGCAUGAAGUAGCCGAUGAGAAACUUUCAGGGGGUAUUUGGACCCAAGAAGGUUCUGUAUUCGGGCCCUUGAGCUGCAGCUUGGGCCCACUUCCACACUGUGGAGUGUACUUUCAUUUUCAAUAAAUCCCUGCUUCUCUUCUUUUGUUGCUUCAUCCUUUGCUUUGCUGGGCGUUUUGUCCAAUUCUUUUUUCAAAAUGCCGAGAACCUGGACAACUUGCAAUCGUGACCAGUGACACAGGCAGCUGUGAUCUGGGGAAGGAGGCCAGCAUGAGAGAACUUGCCACUUUUCCCAGGGAGGACCUGGUGUCUCAUCAGACAGAGAGAGGAACUGGAAGUGGCCUGCUACUUCUCCUAUUUCACAAAGAACCACUUGGUGAACCAGGUUCAAAAGGGCCCAGGCUCUGUCACCAGUGGAAUCCUGUCUCCAAGCCGUCAGGCUGAACACACGUUCCCUGUUUAAACACACGUGCCCAGCCCCUCCUUCUGCAAGGUAACCACAUAGAAAGUUAGUCUAACACCCCUUAUCUGCCCUGUGUGGGGAGCCUGUGGAAGCUGGUCUCAGGAUCUGGCUGGGUAAACCAUCUGUUUACUUCUGUGUGGGUUUUGACAGUCCUAGUCAGUUCUGUUUCUCUGAACCUUGUUUCUCCACUCUGCUUGCCAAGUCCCUUUCUCUUACUUUUUUUUCCCCCUCCUUCCUUUCCUCCCUCCCUCCCUCCCUCCUUCCUUCUUUCUUUCCUCCCUCCCUCCCUCCCUUUCUUCCUUCC